Molecule: unclassified non-coding RNA, 340 nt
Filed under: uncultured fungus
Lineage: Eukaryota; Fungi
Description: partial contains small subunit ribosomal RNA, internal transcribed spacer 1, and 5.8S ribosomal RNA
Rfam family: Eukaryotic small subunit ribosomal RNA (bases 1-73)
Source: RNAcentral
GCAAACUUGGUCAUUUAGAGGAAGUAAAAGUCGUAACAAGGUUUUCGUAGGUGAACCUGCGGAAGGAUCAUUACUGAAGUCCAGGGGGAGUGCUGGCCUCUGCGCAUGUGCACCCUCCUCCUCUUCAUCCACACACACCUGUGCACCUUUCGAGGCGGGGCUUCCCGUGCCCGGAGCAGGCCUGGUCUAGGCUUUCAGAAGCCUAGAUUUGGCCCGAAGACCCGCCUACAUUUUCAUAAACUCUUUGUAUGACCGGAACGUGUCCGCGGCUUCGCCGCAAAACCAAUACACAACUUUCAACAACGGAUCUCUUGGUUCUCGCAUCGAUGAAGAACGCAGC